This 443-nucleotide ribosomal RNA is filed under the name uncultured bacterium. RNAcentral's name for it is "partial 16S ribosomal RNA". It matches the Rfam family "Bacterial small subunit ribosomal RNA", at positions 338 to 795 of the family's 1533-position model. The record is from RNAcentral.
CCUACGGGAGGCUGCAGUGGGGAAUAUUGGGCAAUGGGCGCAAGCCUGACCCAGCGACGCCGCGUGAAGGAAGAAGGCUUUCGGGUUGUAAACUUCUUUUGUCAGGGACGAAGCAAGUGACGGUACCUGACGAAUAAGCCACGGCUAAAUACGUGCCAGCAGCCGCGGUAAUACGUAGGUGGCAAGCUUUAUCCGGAUUGAUUGGGUGUAAAGGGCGUGUAGGCGGGAAUGCAAGUCAGAUGUGAAAACUAUGGGCUCAACCCAUAGCCGGCAUUUGAAACUGUAUUUCUUGAGUUCUGGAGAGGCAAUCGGAAGUCCGUGUGUAGCGGUGAAAUGCGUAGAUAUACGGAGGAACACCAGUGGCGAAGGCGGAUUGCUGGACAGUAACUGACGCUGAGGCGCGAAAGCGUGGGGAGCAAACAGGAUUAGAUACCCCAGUAGUC